Molecule: long non-coding RNA, 1056 nt
Filed under: Trifolium pratense (red clover)
Lineage: Eukaryota; Viridiplantae; Streptophyta; Magnoliopsida; Fabales; Fabaceae
Description: long non-coding RNA (TPRA_LNC007493)
Source: RNAcentral
GUAAAGGAGGUCAAGAUCUUUAGAGUUUACCUGGAGGGCAGUGAAAUCCACUCAAUAUAAGUUCUUUUCUUUCCUUUACUUUUUGUACUUGUUCUUUGGUUUCUGCUUCUUUCACCUGACUGCCUUCUUGUCUGGAUUGUCACAAGGUUGCUGCUGGUUCUUUGGAAGCAGGGAGGAAUGGAGGCAGUGAUUAUAGGAUUUGGGUUAAAGAGGGCUGCUUUGAUUUUUUGAGUUGGCUUAGCAUUGAUUCCAAAUGAUUAUUUUAGGAAUGAAUUUGUGUGAGUUGAAUGAAAUUUAUGAAUGAAUGAAGAGCUUCCCUUUUGGCUGUGAAUUCUUUCAUUUUCUCUCACACAUGAACUCGAUCCCUUUGAUCUGUAUCCUCUACUUGAUUGCUCUUGAUGAGCAGAAUUGACACCUUCCGUUCUUGGAUUGAUUCACGCGCAAUAGCCAGCUUUUGUUCUUAUCCCUUUUGUUUUUUUCCAUUUUUUAUUUUUUCCUUUUCAUCCACGUCCUGCCCCCUUCCCUUUUUUACUUUAUAUUUUUUAUGAUUUAAUUACAAAAAAUAUAAUAACAACUUUUUGCGAGUGAAAAAGGAAAAAUUGGGUAGACACCCGACGCUUCCCCGAAUGUUCGGGAACGAGGUAAACAUUCCACUUUCGGUCGAAUAUUUGUCCUCCGCUUAAAAUCAAUCUCAUUCUCUUUUUUCGCGCCCAUGUACGCUCACUUCUUUUUUAUCAAAAGGGUAUCAUCGCCUAAGUGUGAGUUCGUCUUUUCGCCAAAGUGCGGCCAAAUAAAUUUUCGCAAAUAAAAUCAACCAACACACAAGCAUUUUCUACCUCCAAAGAACUGCGUGUAACUUUGAUUUCUCCAUUGCACUCGGGGAUACGUAGGAGCAAGAGACCACUCUUGUCAAGCACACUAAUAAAAAACCAUUUUUUUCCUUUUAUUUAAAACCAAACAUUUCAUUUUUAAUCCACAUCCACAUUUAAUAAUGGAAGCAAACAUAAAACUAACACCUAAUUAAGCGCUAAACUAAUUAACGGUUCCCGUUGGAUA